UCGUGUAACUUUUGUUCAACCGUUGCAGGAUGUUAAAUGUCCAGGCUGCUUCCAAAUGUAAGUUACUGAAAAUUAGCGAUUAAAUUCCUCGUGUUAUAAGUUUCCAUGUAGUAGUAAGGUACCAAUAAUCGAUCCAACUUUUACAGAACAACAAUUUUCAGCCACUCACAAACCGUGGUUACAUGCGCCAACUGCCAGCAAGUGCUCUGCCAGCCAACUGGUGGACGCGCAAAACUUACUGAGGGAUGCUCUUUUAGGGUUAAAGAGAGGGCUAUGAUGGUCGUGGGUUGAUAUUUGCUAGAGGUUCUGGUUAAGCUAUGAUUUCGUGGUUCUGGUCGUGGGUUAUUUUUGUUUUUCCUUUCCUUCACUGAGCCGGGUAGGGGUAAGGCCCGUCUACAUAUUACCCUCCCCAGACCCCACUUUGUGGGACUACACUGGGUAGUUGUUGUUGUUGUUCUUGUUCUGGUUAAGCUAUGACAUUAUAAACUAGGUUUUUGAAGAAUGAGUUGGUUAAGAGAGCUUUUCCUUUGCUCAGUAGUACUUUUUUGUUUUGAGUUCUGACUUUGAUGAAUACUUUGGCUAUCGUAUUACUCAUACCACAUUUUGAAGUAGUUAAACUUCUUCCUUGAUCUUGAUUUUAUCCUUUUUUUUAAAGAAGAUACUCCAUGUUUGUGCAUUUAUGUUUUUGGUAUUCAUGUUUAAUGCUAGAAAUGUGUCCUGUUUUUGGAAUUGAAGCGCAUAGCUGUUCCUUUGGAUGAAGUUAAGUCGAAUAACUUGCUUUGAGUCUCUUUUGCAAAGAUAAACACGACGUUUAUACUGUACUUUUGACUGGUGCGAUGUGCCAUGAAAACUGCUUGAAUCUGUCAGGAGCUUGACUUACUCAACCCAAGCCUCAGAAUGUUUCUAGCUGUGUUUGAUAAACCUUUUUGGGAUGUUAUAUGUGUACUAAUGAAGAAGUAUGUACAGGAGAUUAAAGAAUUCUUGUGUUAUUGAUUUGUCUAAACUUUGUUAAGUUACUGGUUUUAACCUGGACAGUUGUUCAUAAUUCCAGGAAUAUUUGUAAGCGCCACUAAUUUAUACCAUAAUAACACGGUAAGGCAGCAUGAAAACACUAUUUAAAGAGUAUUUUAACUCAAGAUUAACAUACAUUACGUAUACAAUGAAACUUCAAAUCCAACAAUAAAAGAAAAGACCUGGAAGAAAGGCAUCACCUUCCCUUUGCCUUUAUGACUUGCCUGUGAGUUCUCUGCACAUCAGAUGCUGUGAAGGCUAAUAGUCUACACAGAAAGGUUUGAAGUCAUCUUCACUAUCAUCAUUGGUUUUUGUCAAAUCCUUCUCUCUUCUUUCUCCUCAUCUUUUUGUUCUUCUUUCUCUUCUUUUUGGGUUUCUCUUCAGUCUGAGAGUCCA
RNAcentral lists this long non-coding RNA (1407 nucleotides) under Nicotiana benthamiana. RNAcentral describes it as "long non-coding RNA (NBEN_LNC009014)". Lineage: Eukaryota; Viridiplantae; Streptophyta; Magnoliopsida; Solanales; Solanaceae. The record is from RNAcentral.